RNAcentral lists this RNase P RNA (307 nucleotides) under Chryseobacterium sp. RNAcentral describes it as "RNase P RNA component class A". It matches the Rfam family "Bacterial RNase P class A". From Rfam's summary of the family: Ribonuclease P (RNase P) is a ubiquitous endoribonuclease, found in archaea, bacteria and eukarya as well as chloroplasts and mitochondria. Its best characterised activity is the generation of mature 5'-ends of tRNAs by cleaving the 5'-leader elements of precursor-tRNAs. The record is from RNAcentral. Lineage: Bacteria; Pseudomonadati; Bacteroidota; Flavobacteriia; Flavobacteriales; Weeksellaceae.
UGACAAGCGCGGCCUGUUGAUCCGCUGCAAAGCGGGUAGGAAAGUCCGGACACCGUAGGGCGGCACAGCGGCUAACGGCCGUCAUCCGUGAGGGUAGGACCAGUGCAACAGAAAGCAAGUACAGUUCGGCUGUAGUGAAAUCAGGUAAACUCUGUGCGGUGCAAUGCCAUGUAUACCGACAACCAAGGGCGGCCCGUCCAAUGUCGGGGGGUAGGCAGCUAAAGUCCGUCGGCAACGGCGGACGCAGAUAAAUAACAGGCAUCCGCUUCGGCGGAUACAGAAUCCGGCUUACAGCGCUUGUCUUUUU